RNAcentral lists this ribosomal RNA (492 nucleotides) under uncultured bacterium. Its description in RNAcentral is "partial 16S ribosomal RNA". It matches the Rfam family "Bacterial small subunit ribosomal RNA", at positions 30 to 507 of the family's 1533-position model. The record is from RNAcentral.
AUUGAACGCUGGCGGCAUGCUUUACACAUGCAAGUCGAACGGUAACAGGCCUUCGGGUGCUGACGAGUGGCGAACGGGUGAGUAAUGCAUCGGAACGUGCCCAGAGGUGGGGGAUAACGCAGCGAAAGCUGUGCUAAUACCGCAUGUGAUCUGAGGAUGAAAGCGGGGGACCAGGCAGCAAUGUUUGGCCUCGCGCCUUUGGAGCGGCCGAUGUCAGAUUAGGUAGUUGGUGGGGUAAAGGCCUACCAAGCCGACGAUCUGUAGCUGGUCUGAGAGGACGACCAGCCACACUGGGACUGAGACACGGCCCAGACUCCUACGGGAGGCAGCAGUGGGGAAUUUUGGACAAUGGGCGCAAGCCUGAUCCAGCAAUGCCGCGUGCGGGAAGAAGGCCUUCGGGUUGUAAACCGCUUUUGUACGGAACGAAAAGGCUCUGGCUAAUACCUGGGGCUGAUGACGGUAUCGUAAGAAUAAGCACCGGCUAACUACGUG